Molecule: small nucleolar RNA, 72 nt
Organism: Aethina tumida (small hive beetle)
Lineage: Eukaryota; Metazoa; Arthropoda; Insecta; Coleoptera; Nitidulidae
Source: RefSeq, a predicted model, not a curated record
UUGAGUAAUUAUGAUGAUUAACUUACCGCCCCAGUCUGAAAUGACAUGACUGAUUGGUUUUUCUGAUCUCAA